RNAcentral lists this ribosomal RNA (253 nucleotides) under uncultured bacterium. RNAcentral's name for it is "partial 16S ribosomal RNA". It matches the Rfam family "Bacterial small subunit ribosomal RNA", at positions 524 to 776 of the family's 1533-position model. The record is from RNAcentral.
UACGUAGGGACCAAGCGUUGUUCGGAUUUACUGGGCGUAAAGGGCGCGUAGGCGGUUCGGUAAGUCACUUGUGAAAUCUCUGAGCUUAACUCAGAACGGCCAAGUGAUACUGCAGUGCUAGAGUGCGGAAGGGGCAAUCGGAAUUCUUGGUGUAGCGGUGAAAUGCGUAGAUAUCAAGAGGAACACCGGAGGUGAAGACGGGGUGCUGGGCCGACACUGACGCUGGAGCGCGAAGGCCAGGGGAGCAAACGGG